UACGGAGGGGGCUAGCGUUGUUCGGAAUUAUUGGGCGUAAAGGGUGCGUAGGCGGUUUGGUAAGUCUUGUGUGAAAUCUACAGGCUCAACUUGUAGUCUGCACGAGAAACUGCCGGGCUUGAGUGUGGGAGAGGUGAGUGGAAUUCCUGGUGUAGCGGUGAAAUGCGUAGAUAUCAGGAGGAACACCUGUGGCGAAAGCGGCUCACUGGACCAUAACUGACGCUGAUGCACGAAAGCUAGGGGAGCAAACAGG
RNAcentral lists this ribosomal RNA (253 nucleotides) under uncultured bacterium. RNAcentral describes it as "partial 16S ribosomal RNA". It matches the Rfam family "Bacterial small subunit ribosomal RNA", at positions 524 to 776 of the family's 1533-position model. The record is from RNAcentral.